ACUUAUGCUGAUUUAAGGCAGCCUACAGGCAGUCUGACUCCUGCUAAGCAGCAGCACGGUAAGGGAUGCUCAUUGCAGGCUUCGUUUGGGGGUUUGUUUUUUCUCUCUGUUACUCUGAGAAACACCAGAAAUGUUUGUUGGAUUCUGGGUUGAUCCAGGCUUGUACAGGGGAGAAAAGGCAGGGAUGGGGGAGAAGGAAGGCUGAGAAUGGCCAGAGGUGCGAUGGUUUUGAGCAAAAAUCAGCCCUAAUGGGGAAACCCAAUGUGAGAAAAUGGAAGGCAGUGCAUGAAAUGGUGGCAGACGCAUCCUGGAUCCACGUGGCACGAUGGCUGCAGAGAUCACAGCCCUCCCAGCCACCAGCUGCCCCACACCGGGCUCGGUUCACAAGGGGCAGCUCAGCUUCCAGCCCAUGCUCUAUGGGACCUGAGGGCCUCCAUCACCUCCAAAACCACACGUGGAGGUGAUGUCCCUGUGCCCACCCGACCUCCAAUGGGAGCCCAUCCCGUGUGCUCUGCUGCUGUCACCCCUCUGUACCACCUCCUUCCCAGCUGGGAACCACUGGGAGAAACAGGGAAGGGUCAUGGGACCCCAGAACUGGAGGAAAGCAAGCAUCCAUCAACUUCUGCUCACACACAACAUGGGAAUCAAUGGGAAGGGUCACCAAAUUGUAGUGGAAACAAAGCAGCCAUCAACUUCUGUUACAGGUUGGUGGAGGGGCUCCUUCACAGAGUAAUUGUUUUUUGUAAAUGGAAAAGGUUUUCCAAAAUGUCUGAUUUAUAUAAUUGUGUGGGCUCUUGCAGUUCCAUGGGACUUCCAGAAAGUCAGUGUGCUGGGGGUGCUGCUGCUGCUGCUGCUGCUGCUGGUGGGGCUCAGCGUGUGGGUCUUUCAGAAAACAACUCCAUCUCCAAGCACUGCCCAGCACUGCCCUGAGACCAACGGGAUGAAGGGG
This 949-nucleotide long non-coding RNA is filed under the name Phasianus colchicus (ring-necked pheasant). RNAcentral describes it as "lncRNA (ENSPCLG00000018862.1)". The record is from RNAcentral. Lineage: Eukaryota; Metazoa; Chordata; Aves; Galliformes; Phasianidae.